RNAcentral lists this ribosomal RNA (857 nucleotides) under Atypoides riversi. RNAcentral's name for it is "eukaryotic LSU rRNA". It matches the Rfam family "Eukaryotic large subunit ribosomal RNA", at positions 375 to 889 of the family's 3401-position model. The record is from RNAcentral. Lineage: Eukaryota; Metazoa; Arthropoda; Arachnida; Araneae; Antrodiaetidae.
UUUGAAGAGAGAGUUCAAGAGUACGUGAAACUGCUGAGAGGCAAACUGGUGGGCCCUCGAAAUCCCGUCUGCGGGGAGAUUCAGUCGGGUGUCGGCGGCCGUCUCGCAAUGGGUCUGUCGCAACCGAAGAUCGGGGCACAUUCCGAGAGGCGAGUUCGCCGGAACCCGACGCAUUUCCCGCCCGCACGAAAGGACGCCGCAGCCGGUCGGGUAGCUGCGCGUGUCGGCCAUGAGGACGUGGCAACGGCAGGUGACCGGCGGCCCUAGGCUUCUCCGGAGGCACUAACGGUCGACGGUUGAUUAGCCGGCUCGUCCGUGGCGCGACACCCGACCGAGGAAACACGGACGAAAAUUUUCUCUCCACGGAGAGAAACUUAUAAUCCACUACUUUCAAUACGAGAGCGAGCCGUCGGACAGGCGCGUUCCUGCGUGGUCGGACAGUCACCGCACUGGUCGAUCUGGUGGGAGCGCGUCGUUGGUUUCCGAGUCAGGAUCUCGCGGAGGAGGAUGAAGGCUGGCGGCGAGUAGGUCGGUAACCCACCCGACCCGUCUUGAAACACGGACCAAGGAGUCUAACAUGUGCGCAAGUCGCGGGGUCUUGCUCAGGCCCAGAGGCGAAAUGAAAGUGAAGGCCGCCGCUCUCCCUCGUUCACUCGGGGGCGGAGUGAGGCGGCCCGGUUGGGACUCGCACGUGACACGGCACGUGAACGAAGCACCAACGACCCGCCCUGUUCUAUCUUCUGGAUAGGAACUCAAACGGAGUUCGAGCGCACACGUUGGGACCCGAAAGAUGGUGAACUAUGCCUGGGCAGGACGAAGCCAGAGGAAACUCUGGUGGAGGUCCGCAGCGGUUCUGA